UACGAAGGGGGCUAGCGUUGUUCGGAAUUACUGGGCGUAAAGGGCGCGCAGGCGGUCGCUCAAGUCAGGCGUGAAAGCCCCGGGCUCAACCUGGGAAUAGCGCUUGAGACUGAGCGACUUGAGUUCGGGAGAGGAGAGCGGAAUUCCCAGUGUAGAGGUGAAAUUCGUAGAUAUUGGGAAGAACACCGGUGGCGAAGGCGGCUCUCUGGACCGACACUGACGCUGAGGCGCGAAAGCUAGGGGAGCAAACGGG
Molecule: ribosomal RNA, 253 nt
Filed under: uncultured bacterium
Lineage: Bacteria
Description: partial 16S ribosomal RNA
Rfam family: Bacterial small subunit ribosomal RNA
Source: RNAcentral